This 616-nucleotide ribosomal RNA is filed under the name uncultured bacterium. RNAcentral's name for it is "bacterial SSU rRNA". The stretch from base 1 to 521 matches the Rfam family "Bacterial small subunit ribosomal RNA", at positions 338 to 873 of the family's 1533-position model. The record is from RNAcentral.
CCUACGGGAGGCAGCAGUGGGGAAUAUUGGACAAUGGGGGAAACCCGUGAUCCAGCAAUGCCGCGUGAGUGAUGAAGGCCUUAGGGUCGUAAAGCUCUUUUACCAGGGAUGAUAAUGACAGUACCUGGAGAAUAAGCUCCGGCUAACUCCGUGCCAGCAGCCGCGGUAAUACGGAGGGAGCUAGCGUUGUUCGGAAUUACUGGGCGUAAAGCGUGCGUAGGCGGUUAUUCAAGUCAGAGGUGAAAGCCCGGGGCUCAACCCCGGAACGGCCUUUGAAACUAGAUAACUAGAAUCUUGGAGAGGUCAGUGGAAUUCCGAGUGUAGAGGUGAAAUUCGUAGAUAUUCGGAAGAACACCAGUGGCGAAGGCGACUGACUGGACAAGUAUUGACGCUGAGGUACGAAAGCGUGGGGAGCAAACAGGAUUAGAUACCCUGGUAGUCCACGCCGUAAACGAUGAUAACUAGCUGUCCGGACACUUGGUGUUUGGGUGGCGCGNGCUACGACAUUAAGUUAUUCCGUCCGUCGGGUAGGUACGGUCGGCGAGAGUUAAACGUUAAAAGUAAAGUAGUACGGCCGUCGAGACGUGUCCGACGGACGACGACGAGGGGAGGUAGG